Molecule: small RNA, 127 nt
Filed under: Marmota monax (woodchuck)
Lineage: Eukaryota; Metazoa; Chordata; Mammalia; Rodentia; Sciuridae
Source: RNAcentral
GCUGGGUGUGGUGGUGCACACCCGUAAUCCCAGUGCCUCUGGAGGCCAAGGCAGGAGGAUCAUGAGUUCAAAGUCAGCCUCAGCAAGUUAGUGAGGCUCUAAGCAACUCAGCGAGAUCCUGUCUCUA